GGAUUCCUCAGUAACGGCGAGUGAACGGGGAUUAGCCCAUCACCGAAGCCCGUGUGCUUUUGCAUACAGGGCAAUGUGGUGUUAAGGCUUGCACCUGGGACUGUGAACUCACCAUAAGUCCAGCUCCGAUUCUGGCUUAUUGUGGUCCAAAGCGGGUGAAAGACCCGUGAUGGUGGGUUAUGGAAUAUAUCGCAGUCCUCAGAUGUGCGUGCCUUCGAGUCGGAUUGCUUGAGAAUGCAGUCCAAAGUGGGUGGUAAACUCCAUCCAAGGCUAAAUACUGGCAUGAGUCCGAUAGUAGACAAGUACCGUGAGGGAAAGUUGAAAAGUACUCUGAAGAGAGAGUAAAUAGUACGUGAAGCCGAUUGCACGGAAGCUGGUGGAGUCAAGCUUCAUGCUUGAGGAAUUUUUAUCAUGAGUUAUUGUGGUUUUGCAUGUGAUCAUUCAGCUUGGUACCUUUGGGCACAUUCCUGUGUAUCAACGUCAUUCUGGGUAAAGUG
This 497-nucleotide ribosomal RNA is filed under the name Haliotrematoides spinatus. RNAcentral's name for it is "LSU rRNA". It matches the Rfam family "Eukaryotic large subunit ribosomal RNA", at positions 72 to 542 of the family's 3401-position model. The record is from RNAcentral. Lineage: Eukaryota; Metazoa; Platyhelminthes; Monogenea; Dactylogyridea; Ancyrocephalidae.